GCCUGGGUGGCUCAGUUGGUUUAGCGUCUGACUUUGGCUCAGGUCAUGAUCUCAUGGUUCAUGGGUUUGAGCCCCAUGUCGGGCU
This 85-nucleotide transfer RNA is filed under the name Felis catus (domestic cat). It matches the Rfam family "tRNA". Rfam says of the family: Transfer RNA (tRNA) molecules are approximately 80 nucleotides in length. Their secondary structure includes four short double-helical elements and three loops (D, anti-codon, and T loops). Further hydrogen bonds mediate the characteristic L-shaped molecular structure. tRNAs have two regions of fundamental functional importance: the anti-codon, which is responsible for specific mRNA codon recognition, and the 3' end, to which the tRNAs corresponding amino acid is attached (by aminoacyl-tRNA synthetases). tRNAs cope with the degeneracy of the genetic code in two manners: having more than one tRNA (with a specific anti-codon) for a particular amino acid; and 'wobble' base-pairing, i.e. permitting non-standard base-pairing at the 3rd anti-codon position. RNAcentral also lists the same sequence under 3 other names. Lineage: Eukaryota; Metazoa; Chordata; Mammalia; Carnivora; Felidae. The record is from Rfam by way of RNAcentral.